Molecule: ribosomal RNA, 440 nt
Filed under: uncultured bacterium
Lineage: Bacteria
Description: partial 16S ribosomal RNA
Rfam family: Bacterial small subunit ribosomal RNA
Source: RNAcentral
CCUACGGGCGGCAGCAGUGGGGGAUAUUGCACAAUGGGGGGAACCCUGAUGCAGCGACGCCGCGUGGGUGAAGAAGCGCCUCGGCGCGUAAAGCUCUGUCAGCAGGGAAGAAAAUGACGGUACCUGAAGAAGAAGCUCCGGCUAACUACGUGCCAGCAGCCGCGGUAAUACGUAGGGGGCAAGCGUUAUCCGGAUUUAGUGGGUGGAAAGGGGGAGCAGACGGCGCUGCAAGCCAGGAGUGAAAGCCCGGGGCCCAACCCCGGGACUGCUGUUGGAACUGCGUGGCUGGAGUGCAGGAGGGGCAGGCGGAAUUCCUGGUGUAGCGGUGAAAUGCGUAGAUAUCAGGAGGAACACCGGUGGCGAAGGCGGCCUGCUGGACUGCAACUGACGUUGAGGCCCGAAAGCGUGGGGAGCAAACAGGAUUAGAUACCCGUGUAGUC